GACGAACGCUGGCGGCGUGCUUAACACAUGCAAGUCGAACGGAAAGGCCCUGCUUUUGUGGGGUGCUCGAGUGGCGAACGGGUGAGUAACACGUGAGUAACCUGCCCUUGACUUUGGGAUAACUUCAGGAAACUGGGGCUAAUACCGGAUAGGAGCUCCUGCUGCAUGGUGGGGGUUGGAAAGUUUCGGCGGUUGGGGAUGGACUCGCGGCUUAUCAGCUUGUUGGUGGGGUAGUGGCUUACCAAGGCUUUGACGGGUAGCCGGCCUGAGAGGGUGACCGGCCACAUUGGGACUGAGAUACGGCCCAGACUCCUACGGGAGGCAGCAGUGGGGAAUAUUGCACAAUGGGUGGAAGCCUGAUGCAGCAACGCCGCGUGCGGGAUGACGGCCUUCGGGUUGUAAACCGCCUUCGCCUGUGACGAAGCGUGAGUGACGGUAAUGGGUAAAGAAGCACCGGCUAACUACGUG
Molecule: ribosomal RNA, 468 nt
Filed under: uncultured bacterium
Lineage: Bacteria
Description: partial 16S ribosomal RNA
Rfam family: Bacterial small subunit ribosomal RNA
Source: RNAcentral